AGUGGCCUAUGAUGAAUGAUUAUUGCCUACAUUGUCAGAUUGUCUAAUUCAUGAUGGAUACAUAUAGCUCUGAGGCCUUG
Mercurialis annua (annual mercury) is the source of this 80-nucleotide small nucleolar RNA. RefSeq annotates it as small nucleolar RNA SNORD34. NCBI's taxonomy places the organism in Eukaryota, Viridiplantae, Streptophyta, Magnoliopsida, Malpighiales, Euphorbiaceae. The transcript has a single exon. The record is from RefSeq and is a predicted model, not a curated record.